Molecule: transfer RNA, 72 nt
Filed under: Candidatus Magnetovum chiemense
Lineage: Bacteria; Pseudomonadati; Nitrospirota; Nitrospiria; Nitrospirales; Nitrospiraceae
Description: Candidatus Magnetoovum chiemensis tRNA
Rfam family: tRNA
About the family: Transfer RNA (tRNA) molecules are approximately 80 nucleotides in length. Their secondary structure includes four short double-helical elements and three loops (D, anti-codon, and T loops).
Source: Rfam by way of RNAcentral
GCGGGAGUAGCUCAAUGGUAGAGCGUCAGCCUUCCAAGCUGAGGGUCGCGGGUUCGAGCCCCGUCUCCCGCU